UGCAUGUCUGCGAGGAAGUACAUGGGGAGAACCCAUGCAGACACAGGCAGAACAAGCAGAACUCCACACUUACUCCCACACACUAAAAAAUCUAAUGACACUGCACCUUAAACCUUAUUUGAACUCUACCUCGUCAAGGGUGCAGACACUCAGGCAAUGCUGCAGCAAUAGAUAGACUCAGAUGCUCACAAGAUUUUAAUCCAAUACCAAAUUUUUUAAACAACAUUUAUUUAGUUACUAUUCAGGCAGAUGAACAAAUAAAAAUGAAAUACAUGAUGCAGCUUUCAAAAUAAACAUUUUAUCUAUUUAAACAGAAACUGUAUCUACAAGGGUUAAAUCUCAAAUUAUUCAGAAUAAGAUUCACACUGUUUGAUUAAUUGCUUUCCACAGCAAUGAAACGUCCCGAUUAUCCACGGGCAGUGUGCCUGCUCGCUGUUUGCGUUAUGACCCACUUCUACCUCCAAUUUCGAAAUACUUAGGCAAUGUAGGGCAGCAGUUAUGCAGCUCUAAAGCACUCAGCCAGCCAAACAAUGACACACAGUAACGCAGCGUCGUCGCAGAGUAUUUUAUCAAGGCAAUGAUUUGUUCCAGCAGGUACUGAGCCUGCAGGGACCAAAACAGAUGGAGAUUCGCGGAGAGCGGCGACAGUUUCUGUGGAGUUAGCAGCGCAUUGUUUGGCAGAGUGAAGACUCUCCUCUCGGGCCCUGACGUCUGCGUCCUCCUUCUGCGGCUCGGCUGCAGCAGGGGUCUUCCACUCCGUCAGAGGCUUUGUUCAAAGAACAUCCAGGCUGAAUUAGUCCCUUAUACAGUGGACACAGGAGCCGAUUCACAGCGAAAGGUCCCUCGUGGCCGAGACAAGUUUUUUUAUUUGUACAAAGCCCACUGUUGUGUAGAAAGCCACGUUG
RNAcentral lists this long non-coding RNA (905 nucleotides) under Betta splendens (Siamese fighting fish). RNAcentral describes it as "lncRNA (ENSBSLG00000014675.1)". Lineage: Eukaryota; Metazoa; Chordata; Actinopteri; Anabantiformes; Osphronemidae. The record is from RNAcentral.